RNAcentral lists this ribosomal RNA (253 nucleotides) under uncultured bacterium. RNAcentral's name for it is "partial 16S ribosomal RNA". It matches the Rfam family "Bacterial small subunit ribosomal RNA", at positions 524 to 776 of the family's 1533-position model. The record is from RNAcentral.
UACGUAGGGUGCGAGCGUUAAUCGGAAUUACUGGGCGUAAAGCGUGCGCAGGCGGCUUCGCAAGUCGAGUGUGAAAUCCCCGAGCUUAACUUGGGAAUUGCGCUCGAAACUACGGAGCUGGAGUGUGGCAGAGGAAGGUGGAAUUCCACGUGUAGCGGUGAAAUGCGUAGAGAUGUGGAGGAACACCGAUGGCGAAGGCAGCCUUCUGGGCCAACACUGACACUGAGAGACGAAAGCUAGGGGAGCGAAUGGG